CAAGAAAGACCAAUUGCAAUUUCCAUAUUUUCCAUGCAUAUCUAUUCUGCCUCGACACACUCAUUAUUUUUCGCGAAUUUUGGUAAUAUGGCGAAUCUUGAUGCAUACCAACUUUCAUUUUCAUUUAUCUUUGCUGUUGCUGAUGCUGUUGUUCAUUCAACUUGACUUCUUCUGAACCCUUCUUGUGCCUUUUAAGGAUGUCCCUAGAACAGUAAUACAAAAUUGUUGUAGUAGUCAUUGACACACGCUGUUUGCACCUUGAUCAUCAUUGUCGUUGGGGAAGAAGUCUCGAAACAAUAGUCCAAGUUAAAUAAAGUUAUUACGUAUGUAUUUUCGAGCAAUGUUGCCAACCACCACAGUUGCACUUUGUCUCAUUUUGUUUUUCUGGAGUGCUUCAGCAGAUGAACAACCACCCUCUGUUGUCCAUGUCGCGUCCAGUGACCCCCAUCUCAAGGGAUCUUUAGAAAUGGUUCCCGUUUCCUCUACCGUGAUCCCGAUCCAAAGUUUGUUUGGAACUCAAAGACCCUCAUCGUCGCAAUCCGAAACUACCGGAGUAGGAAGCGUAGGCCAAGCUACGUACCCAAUCUUUCGGCGCAAUGCUUACUCAAGGAGAUCAAACUUUUUCCACAAAUCAACCAAACCAGGCACACCUGUUCGACUUAUUACUACGAGAAGCAAUAGAGCUCGAGUUGAGGCGUAUGAUGGAUGACCUGGCGAGAAGGAAAAAAUGGCGACAAGAAAAAUGGGGAUAAAACUGUAUAAAAAGACACGAUUUAUUGUUAUACAUAGUUCGUUAUGCUAGGAUUAUUUAUUGUUCAUUCAAAAAAAUCAUCAGAUCUAAGAUAAUGGAACUGUUGUGACAGAAUUGUGACAUGUAGCACACUUUUUAGUUUCCUGGACUGAACGGUCCAUAAUAUUAAAACAAAAGGCAUAGAAAAGUUUA
Folsomia candida is the source of this 943-nucleotide long non-coding RNA. RefSeq lists it as uncharacterized. Lineage: Eukaryota; Metazoa; Arthropoda; Collembola; Entomobryomorpha; Isotomidae. The record is from RefSeq and is a predicted model, not a curated record. The transcript is spliced from 3 exons.